The sequence is a ribosomal RNA, 598 nucleotides long. It matches the Rfam family "Bacterial small subunit ribosomal RNA", at positions 184 to 796 of the family's 1533-position model.
CACCGCAUGGUGGGUGUUGGAAAGAUUUAUCGGUUUUGGAUGGACUCGCGGCCUAUCAGCUUGUUGGUGAGGUAAUGGCUCACCAAGGCGACGACGGGUAGCCGGCCUGAGAGGGUGACCGGCCACACUGGGACUGAGACACGGCCCAGACUCCUACGGGAGGCAGCAGUGGGGAAUAUUGCACAAUGGGCGCAAGCCUGAUGCAGCGACGCCGCGUGAGGGAUGACGGCCUUCGGGUUGUAAACCUCUUUCAGUAGGGAAGAAGCGAAAGUGACGGUACCUGCAGAAGAAGCACCGGCUAACUACGUGCCAGCAGCCGCGGUAAUACGUAGGGUGCGAGCGUUAUCCGGAAUUAUUGGGCGUAAAGAGCUCGUAGGCGGUUUGUCGCGUCUGUCGUGAAAGUCCGGGGCUUAACCCCGGAUCUGCGGUGGGUACGGGCAGACUAGAGUGCAGUAGGGGAGACUGGAAUUCCUGGUGUAGCGGUGGAAUGCGCAGAUAUCAGGAGGAACACCGAUGGCGAAGGCAGGUCUCUGGGCUGUAACUGACGCUGAGGAGCGAAAGCAUGGGGAGCGAACAGGAUUAGAUACCCUGGUAGUCC